CAGGGAAUGUCUCCCCUCACCUCCUGUAUGAACAUCUCUCUCCUUCCUCCAGUAUAGGAGGGUCUGCAAAGCUAAAGGAAGAGUUCCUUUGUUACAAGAUAGAAAAGUGGUGCCACUUUAAAGAUGAUUUCUCAGUGUUCUCCUUAGAUACCAAAUACAAAGGACGAGGGAUCAAGCUCAGCGAAAGUAUCAGGCAUUUAAGGUAUCAGGCAGCAAUGCGGGGAAAGGUGAAUUUUCUUCAAUCAGCAUAGGAUGGUUAGGGAAGAGCAUUUAUCACUUUGGUUCUUAUCCUUCAAGCCAGGGGAAAAGCAACAGUGAGGACAUCAGAGACAAAAGCAUUUAUAGAACUAACAAACACAAACGUUUGACAAGUGAGAAAGCUUUAUUAAAGCACACAUACAUGUCAGGGGGGUGGGAAACAAAAGAGCAAGUUACAGCCCGGGAUCCCAAGUUAUGCCUUCCAUUACAAUUGCAAUCCACACCAAAUCAAUCUUUGAAAACAUUCCUCCAUUCGGUUCAUACAUACAGUAGAAACCACUGUGGCUGCCCUUAAUCCAGUGUGCUUAUAGGAAAUCAGUUAGCAGCUGACUCUGUUGAAAGGGAUUUCCUCUCUGCUAUACACUCCUUCCACACACAACUUUGGGUAGAAACGCUUAUGAGAAUAGAAAGGUCAGUUUGAUCAAUGAGUACCAGAAGAUGAAACUUAGCUCACUAGACCCUUCUUUGAAAAGCCUCAACACACUACACCCAUGUAAUAUGUAGGUCAAAUUUAGGAAACAAUAGCAAAAACAGGAACUGAAAGCUCAUCAAGCAGGAAGUCAGAAUAACAGGGAGACUCUGUCUACAUUCCCUUAGAGCCCUUAACAGUCCCCAGCCUGGAGAAACACUGGGCCAAUUGAGAUAACACUUGGCUCUUCUGGUUGACACAGUGGGAUGUAGACCAUGCUCUGUUUGAUAACACACCCCAGACGCAAACACUAAGACAGAUGUGGUACAUGAGGAUGAAUAUAUCUCAUCUUUCAUUCGAGAAAUGAGGAGCUCUCUCUCCAAUGACUGCAGUAUCAGUUUAAAAUGCAGAAAAUUCAGCAUGGGCUGUGAGACACUUUACCCUCAGUCACUCUGGUCCUCUGAGAUCAGCUAGAAGCUCUCACUGGGCAUCCUCGUGAUUUAGUCAAAAUACAUUAUCUAAUUAAAGUGCUUUUCAAAAGCAGCUCCAUUAUAAGAGUCCCCCAAAGGUCUAGUAAAGAUAUCUAGAACUGGAAAAAGCUUGGGAAUUCUGUUAGCAUUUCAAAGAAAAGCAUUAGACCAAAGCAAGGUGGAAACUGCUUAAAAACUAGAAAAGUUAAAUUUAAAAGCCAAGUUCCAGAAGUUUAUCCAGGUAGAAAAUAAGUUAAAAGCAUAAAUUGGAGAGGAGAAAGAGGAAGGAACUACUCACCUCUCCCCAACAUUCCUGUCUUUACUAACCAACCCUGCUUCCCAGAGCCUUAAAACCCAGACUGGUCCUAAUGCGAAAGGUAGCCAGGGCUUCCUAGGGAAGUAGGAACAAUGAUAGCAAGACAGAAGAUAAAAAGUUGUUUUAAAAGCUGUUUUUAAGUUAAGUGAACCUUAUAAAGACAUAAGAAAAAAUGGACUCUGAAAAUAAACUAGAUUAUACACAG
RNAcentral lists this long non-coding RNA (1658 nucleotides) under Homo sapiens (human). RNAcentral's name for it is "non-protein coding lnc-TNMD-2:2". Lineage: Eukaryota; Metazoa; Chordata; Mammalia; Primates; Hominidae. The record is from RNAcentral.